CAGUAACGGCGAGUGAAGCGGUAACAGCUCAAAUUUGAAAUCUGGCCUCACGGUCCGAGUUGUAAUUUGUAGAGGAUGCUUCGAGCAUGGUCUGGCCUAAGUUCCUUGGAACAGGACGUCAUAGAGGGUGAGAAUCCCGUAUGCGGCCAGGUGCCUACGCUCAUGUGAAGCUCCUUCGACGAGUCGAGUUGUUUGGGAAUGCAGCUCAAAAUGGGUGGUAAAUUUCAUCUAAAGCUAAAUAUUGGCCAGAGACCGAUAGCGCACAAGUAGAGUGAUCGAAAGAUGAAAAGCACUUUGGAAAGAGAGUUAAACAGUACGUGAAAUUGUUGAAAGGGAAGCGCUUGCAACCAGACUUGCGCGCGGCCGAUCAUCCGGUGUUCUCACCGGUGCACUCGGCCGUGCUCAGGCCAGCAUCGGUUUUGGCGGCUGGAUAAAGGCCCUAGGAAUGUAGCUCCUCUCGGGGAGUGUUAUAGCCUAGGGUGCAAUGCAGCCUGCUGGGACCGAGGACCGCGCUUCGGCUAGGAUGCUGGCGUAAUGGUUGUAAGCGGCCCGUCUUGAAACACGGACCAAGGAGUCUAACAUCUAUGCGAGUGUUUGGGUGUCAAACCCAUACGCGUAAUGAAAGUGAACGGAGGUGAGAACCCUUAAGGGUGCAUCAUCGACCGGUCCUGAAGUUUACGGAAGGAUCUGAGUAAGAGCAUAGCUGUUGGGACCCGAAAGAUGGUGAACUAUGCCUGAAUAGGGUGAAGCCAGAGGAAACUCUGGUGGAGGCUCGCAGCGGUUCUGACGUGCAAAUCGAUCGU
This 803-nucleotide ribosomal RNA is filed under the name Pseudogymnoascus sp. RNAcentral's name for it is "partial large subunit ribosomal RNA". It matches the Rfam family "Eukaryotic large subunit ribosomal RNA", at positions 81 to 905 of the family's 3401-position model. The record is from RNAcentral. RNAcentral also lists the same sequence under 1 other name. Lineage: Eukaryota; Fungi; Ascomycota; Leotiomycetes; Thelebolales; Thelebolaceae.